GACGAACGCUGGCGGCGUGCUUAACACAUGCAAGUCGAACGGAAAGGCCCUGCUUUUGUGGGGUGCUCGAGUGGCGAACGGGUGAGUAACACGUGAGUAACCUGCCAUUGACUUUGGGAUAACUUCAGGAAACUGGGGCUAAUACCGGAUAGGAGCUCCUGCUGCAUGGUGGGGGUUGGAAAGUUUCGGCGGUUGGGGAUGGACUCGCGGCUUAUCAGCUUGUUGGUGGGGUAGUGGCUUACCAAGGCUUUGACGGGUAGCCGGCCUGAGAGGGUGACCGGCAACAUUGGGACUGAGAUACGGCCCAGACUCCUACGGGAGGCAGCAGUGGGGAAUAUUGCACAAUGGGCGGAAGCCUGAUGCAGCACCGCCGCGUGCGGGAUGACGGCCUUCGGGUUGUAAACCGCUUUCGCCUGUGACGAAGCGUGAGUGACGGUAAUGGGUAAAGAAGCACCGGCUAACUACGUG
RNAcentral lists this ribosomal RNA (468 nucleotides) under uncultured bacterium. RNAcentral's name for it is "partial 16S ribosomal RNA". It matches the Rfam family "Bacterial small subunit ribosomal RNA", at positions 28 to 507 of the family's 1533-position model. The record is from RNAcentral.